RNAcentral lists this ribosomal RNA (325 nucleotides) under uncultured eukaryote. RNAcentral's name for it is "partial 18S ribosomal RNA". It matches the Rfam family "Eukaryotic small subunit ribosomal RNA", at positions 1470 to 1796 of the family's 1831-position model. The record is from RNAcentral.
CCCUUAGAUGUUCUGGGCCGCACGCGCGCUACACUGAUGCAUUCAACGAGCCUAUCCUUGACCGACAGGUCCGGGUAAUCUUUGAAUCUGCAUCGUGCCGGGGAUAGAUUAUUGCAAUUAUUAAUCUUCAACGAGGAAUGCCUAGUAGGCGCAAGUCAUCAGCUUGCGUCGAUUACGUCCCUGCCCUUUGUACACACCGCCCGUCGCUCCUACCGAUUGGGUGUGCUGGUGAAAUGUUCGGAUCGGCCGUUUGUCGCGGUUUCCGCGUCAUGUGGCUGAGAAGUUCAUUAAACCCUCCCACCGAGAGGAAGGAGAAGUCGUAACA